UCUCCGUAGGUGAACCUGCGGAGGGAUCAUUACAGAGUUCUCGCCCUUACGGGUAGAUCUCCCACCCACUGUUAUCGUUACUGUCGUUUCUUUGGCGGGCCGCCGGGUCCCCGGCCGCCGGCGCCUAGCUGCCGGCGCGCGCCCGCCAGAGGCCUCCAAACUCUGAAUGUUAGUGUCGUCUGAGUACUAUAUAAUAGUUAAAACUUUCAACAACGGAUCUCUUGGUUCUG
This 230-nucleotide unclassified non-coding RNA is filed under the name plant metagenome. RNAcentral describes it as "partial contains small subunit ribosomal RNA, internal transcribed spacer 1, and 5.8S ribosomal RNA". The record is from RNAcentral.